UUUCUUUCUUCCUCUUCAGAUUGCUUUCUUACCCAAAUAUCUUUGUGAUUGCCUGCUUUGCGGCUUUGGGGGGAAGAAGGACUGAUCAGCUUGGUGAAUUUGCACGUAUCGGUGUGUCCCAGUCAUCAGCUCACAUGAGGAGUAUUUCUCAUUGAAAAAUGAAGGAAAUGCAGAUCAGAACUGAUCGCUAAAUUCAGUCUUUUUAGAGCUUAUCCAGAUUUCUUUCUAUUAAUAAA
Molecule: long non-coding RNA, 236 nt
Organism: Nannospalax galili (Upper Galilee mountains blind mole rat)
Lineage: Eukaryota; Metazoa; Chordata; Mammalia; Rodentia; Spalacidae
Exons: 3
Source: RefSeq, a predicted model, not a curated record